Molecule: RNase P RNA, 402 nt
Filed under: Planctomycetota bacterium
Lineage: Bacteria; Pseudomonadati; Planctomycetota
Description: Planctomycetes bacterium (marine metagenome) RNase P RNA component class A
Rfam family: Bacterial RNase P class A
About the family: Ribonuclease P (RNase P) is a ubiquitous endoribonuclease, found in archaea, bacteria and eukarya as well as chloroplasts and mitochondria. Its best characterised activity is the generation of mature 5'-ends of tRNAs by cleaving the 5'-leader elements of precursor-tRNAs.
Source: RNAcentral
GGAGUGAGUUGGAUGGUCGCUGGACGCGGCUUCGGUUGUGUCGAGAGGAAAGUCCGGGCUCCAUAGGACAGGGUUGUCGGUAACACCGACCGACCGUGAGGUCAGGGAAAGUGCAGCAGAAAGUAAACCGCCGAUGGCCACGAUGGGUUCGCCCGUCGCGGCACAGGUAAGGGUGAAACGGUGCGGUAAGAGCGCACCAGCAGCCAGGGUGACUUGGCUGGCUCGGUAAACCCCGCCCGGAGCAAAGCCAAGCAGAGAGAAUGCGGCCUCGGCCACAGCGAGCCUGUCCGGCUCGUCACUACUCUCGGGUAGGCUGCUUGAGGUGUUGAGCAAUCAACAUCCUAGAUAAAUGGCCGUCCCUCCUAGUGAGGACAGAACCCGGCUUACAGAUUCACUCCCUGG